AGCGUUCUGAAUUCUUGCUGAGAUUUCGUCAGACAUCAGACUCUCAGGACUGAUGAGGCUCCCAAGAUGAUUAGAGCG
Molecule: microRNA precursor, 78 nt
Filed under: Schistosoma mansoni
Lineage: Eukaryota; Metazoa; Platyhelminthes; Trematoda; Strigeidida; Schistosomatidae
Description: mir-3492 microRNA precursor family
Rfam family: mir-3492 microRNA precursor family
Source: Rfam by way of RNAcentral